This 253-nucleotide ribosomal RNA is filed under the name uncultured bacterium. RNAcentral describes it as "partial 16S ribosomal RNA". It matches the Rfam family "Bacterial small subunit ribosomal RNA", at positions 524 to 776 of the family's 1533-position model. The record is from RNAcentral.
GACAGAGGGGGCAAGCGUUGCUCGGAAUUACUGGGCGUAAAGGGCGCGUAGGCGGGAUGGCAAGUCGGUCGUGAAAUCCCUCGGCUCAACCGAGGAACGUCGAUCGAUACUGCUGUUCUUGAGGAUUGCAGAGGAGACUGGAAUUCCCGGUGUAGCGGUGAAAUGCGUAGAUAUCUGGAGGAACACCGGUGGCGAAGGCGGCAUCCUGGACCGGCAUUGACGCUGAGGCGCGAAAGCCAGGGGAGCAAACGGG